GAUUAGAACAACAUACUAUAACACAUAGCACUACUUAUUGCAGUCAGCACAUAACCUAAUCACAUUGUCACAUAUAUUCCACAACCAUUGAAUCACAAAUAAACACAUAUACAGUCAAAAUAUCUAAGUUCAGAUCAAUUUCUGAAACAUGUCGGUGUACCGACAGCUUUAUCGGGUAAUUAUCGAGUCUAAGACUCUAUUCUGUAACUCAAUAUCUAUAAA
Molecule: long non-coding RNA, 222 nt
Filed under: Panax ginseng (ginseng)
Lineage: Eukaryota; Viridiplantae; Streptophyta; Magnoliopsida; Apiales; Araliaceae
Description: long non-coding RNA (PGIN_LNC015390)
Source: RNAcentral